CUGGUGGUAAAGCUUUCAAGUCAAACCAACCUGCAUUCAAACCUUAGCUUCACCCUAACUAGCUAUAUAGCCUUGGGUCACUUACUUAACCUCUCUGAACUUCCAAGUUUUCACUUGUAGAAUGGAAUUUAGAACCCUCCUCAUCGCAUGUUGUGACAAUUAAGUGGGAUAGUGUUGGCAAAGUGCUUCGCACAGCUGCUGACCCUGCCUCGUUCCAGAGAAGGGAAUUUAGAAUCAAUGAAUGGGGAAAAUAAGUCAGCGCUGCGAGCAGUCGGGAAAUGGCACAAGCCCAGCAAGUGUUUAACCUGUUUCCUCUGAGGGGCUGAAGCUCAGAGGAAAUUCUGCC
RNAcentral lists this long non-coding RNA (346 nucleotides) under Equus caballus (horse). Its description in RNAcentral is "lncRNA (ENSECAG00000054741.1)". The record is from RNAcentral. Lineage: Eukaryota; Metazoa; Chordata; Mammalia; Perissodactyla; Equidae.